ACUUUCUGACUGUGAGUACUGCUACAAGUCCACCCCCACCUCUGCUUGUAGAAAUAAAAAGUGCAGAUUUAUGAGAGGGGAUGGGUCUACCUGGAGUGACUUGAGGAAUACCCAGAAGACCCCGUCCACCUCCUCCUGCUUAGAAUAUGCCUUUUGCUAGCCUGCUGUGAUGCCUGGAAUUUCAUCCUUCACCCAUGUGAGUCAUUAUUGGACCCAGGAAGUUAAAGAUCAAUCAGUCUUAUCCCCUGCCCCUCCCCCCCCCCCCCCCGCCACCCCCGGAGAGCUACAGAUGCCACCCACAGCUGGCUCCUGGAAACUUGAGCAGAGACUGGGUCCUCUACUCUUUUUCAGAAGUUCUCCCAUGAGGGUGUGAGUGGCCAGGGAGAUGUCCUGAAAGGGAUUCUGGGCUCGGAGUGGCUUAGAGGGCAGUUUCCCACGAAUUUUCCAAUUUUCUUCAGUCAGAAAGUGAGCGACCCAUGACCAGUCCCAUGCCCCGAGCACAGCCCAGCAGAGCUCAGAGUUGGUCCACAGCAUGUAGGGGGGUGGGAAUGAUGACCAUCGCGGCAGAGCCCACGCUGGCCAGCACAGCUGGUGCUCCACAUUUUAAGCAGGAGUGGACACACGUACCCAGGAUCUCCCAAACCCGUGCAGGCCAACCCACCCCGGUCUGAGUCAGCUUUCUCAUCCAGACUUGAGUCUUAGUUAGAGCACUGCCUUAGCCUUUAGUGAGGCCCCCAAAAUGAUGUCAAUGUUCACGCUCAGCUGCCCUCGCCUCAACCAGGCUAAUGAGGAUGGGGAAAAAGUUCUUUGUUUUAGGCCAAAUGGGUCUUCUCUAACUGCAGCUGUUUUCUUUUUUUGUUCCUACAAGUGCUGGGCCCACCCACAUAGUUUAAAGCCAAGAUCAGGACAGAGAUGGAGGGAGCUGUCCCCUGGCCACCCUGAUACCUGCUGUUGGAAAUCAACAAACAAACACAAACCCACUUUGCGUUCUGUGAGUGUGCAUGUAUGUUGGUCCCUAGGUGCUGCAGGACAAGAGGAGGGCCAGAAAGCUCUGCCCAUGCCUGGGGAGCAUGCUGGAUCUCCCUUCCAGCUACAGAAGAGGUCAGCACCCUGCCCCCGCUGGCGGUCUUGCUCGAACCUCUGAGAGACCUCUUGGCAACAUGCUGUCCCUCCUAAUUGUCUUCCUCGGUCACCACUGCAGACCAAGCCUUCCAGGUCAUCAGUCACCACGUGGCCCUUGUCCUGGGAGAGUUCUGCACAUCCGCUUCCCUUCACCCCUCCUCACCUCCAGACCCUUCCACUGCAUUAUCGAGAACUCUGUCUCCUAGAGCCUCCCCUCCUCUGAAGGGGCCUUUACCUUCUUUCACUGAAGCCUGGCUGUCCUCAAGCUCCCUGCUCCUUGCAGCCACUCAGGUUGAGGCUGGUUUCUGUCGCCUACAGGCAGGUGUCAGGCAGGGCCUGGACGUAGAGGGGUUACUCAUUUCUCCCUCUCAGUCCUCAGACUCUUUUUUUCUUCCCCCAGUGACUUCAGUCCCCAGCUCCUCUCUCCAUCCACCUUUACUUUCACGGACGCUGACACCCACCUGGACCACUCUGACAACAUCCUGGCUCCCCAACUUCAUCAGACCCUUGCCUUCUUUGAUUUCAGCCACCUCUGAGAUCUGAAAAUUUGCUUUUAUUUAAAAAAUGUCUUAAGUUUACAUAUGUAAAAUUCUUUUUCUGAUGUACAGGUCUAUGGUUUCUUAGACACGCGUGGAUUCUCACAGCCACCACCACAGACAGUACAAGCAACAGUUCCAAUACUCCAGAGAACGCCCUCAUCUCUCCUCACCCCUGCCUUCUGGCAAGCAAUGAGCUGUUCUCUGUUCCUGUAUUUUUGCCUUUUCUAGAAUGCCAUAUAAAUGGAAUUAUAUAGAAUGUGCCCUUUUGGUACUGGCCUCUUUUGUUCAAAAGAAUAAUACCUUUGAGAUUCAUCCAUGCUGUUGUUUGAAUCAAGCAUGUUAACUUUUAUUGCUGAGUAGUAGUCCAUUGUGUAGAUAUAUUACAGUUUUUUAAAAAUCUACCCCUGUCGAAGGACAUUUGGGUUGUUUUCAGUUCUUGGUGAGGAUGAACAUUUGUGUGCAGAUUUUGUGUGGACUUAAAAUCUUGACUUCUUUAAAAUACCUAGAAGUGGUCAUUGCUGGGUCCUAUGUAUGUGAGAUCUCAACUGUAAGUUUCCUCUCCUCUGACAACUGUGCCCCAUCCACAUGGUUCCUUUCUCUAACAUAUCACACUGACCACUGUGACCUCACUAAGACCUCCAAUUCACUGAGCCUGCCAUUUUUUUCAUUGAUCAUGAACCUAUUCAUUUUUUCUUUCCUUCUCACACAACUUAGUGAUCCAUCGUAAUAGUCAUCCUACUGGAAACUUUCCUCACUCCCUUAAACAUACCGUCCUGGCUGAACCACAACCUGGUAAACUCAACUACCCACCCAUUCAGUCUCCAUUAGAGUAGAACAGUGUGGCUAGAAGAAAACACAAUUGUGCCAUGGGCCAGUUCAUGACCAUAAAUCUCACCUGAGCUUCUGAUACUGAUCAUCGAUCAGUCUGACCUUCUAGUGACUAUUUCAUACUUGUAUCUCUUCAAACCUCUGACAGCCUCAUAUAUCACUGGGGAAAUAGCGAUCAGACUAGAGAUUGCUUAUUAUCCUCCCACCACCAAUUCCACCUGACGGACUAAGGCUUUACUCUCUUCUCUGCCUUCCCCCUUUUAAAACGAUGAACUGUCCAUGCUUCUGUCUGAAGCCAGCCCCUCGAUGGUGCAGUGGAUUCCAUCCGUGCCCAUCCCACCUUUUCAAUCAUUUUACUUCUGCAAUUAUCCCCCCCUUUCCUGUCUUCAUCAACUUUCUGCCAUCACCGUAUAUACGUUUCCUAAUGUAGCUCAUCUUCAAAAAUGAUGUCCCUCCUGGCUCCCCAAAACCAGUAACUUUACAGUGGAGAGACCUGACAAAACACCUCAGCCAGGUGAUCAAGGCAACGAGUCAUGACGGCGGAAUGUACCCUUGCUGUGAUGUGAGGAGGUGAUAAUGGCACUGUACCUCUUUGGUCUUCCUUUCCAAAACCCACAACCUCUGUCCAACCAGAAAAACACCAGACAAAUCCAAAUGGAAGGAUGUUCUACAAAAUACUUAACUAGCACUCCUCAGAAUUGUCAAGGCCGUCAAAAGUGGGGAAAACCUAAGAGAAGCCUAAGGAGACGUGACAAGUAAAUGUAAUGUGGUAUCCUGAAUAGGACCUUAGAACAGAAAAAGAAAGAUAUUAAGUAACACUAAAAACUGGAAUAAAGUACAGGCUUUAGAUAAUAAGGUACCAAUACUGGUUCAUUAAUUGUGACUUAUGUACCAUAGUAAUGUUAACAAUAGAGGAGGCCAGGCACGGUGGCUCACGUCUAUAUUCCUACCGCUUUGGGAGGCCGAGGCAGGAGGAUCACUUGAGCCCACGAGUUUGAGACCAGCCUGGGCAACAUAGGGAAACCCCGUCUCUAUUCUAAAAAUAAAAUAAAAUAAUAGAGGAAACUGAGUGCAGGGAACUCUUAUAAUGGUCUCACAGCCUUUCUGUAAACCUAAAACUAUUCUAAGAUAAAAGUCGAUUAAAUAUGAAACCACACACACACACACAUACACACACACACACAUAUACACUCCCACACACUCCCCUGACCCAUGUCAUCCUCUUGCUCCACUCCAUUUCCCUGCUUUCCUGCACAGGGAACCUUCCCAAACGAGUUGUAUAUUGCUACGGUCUCUGUUUCCCCACUCCAGCCAGCUCAUUCCUCAGUCUACUCCAAUCUGCUGUCCUUAGCUCCCCACCAAACCUGCUCUUGUUAAGGUUGAUGGUGAGCUCCAUGUUGGCAAAUCCGAGUCAAUUUUUUUCCCCUUCCCUUACCUUUCAGUCUAGUGUGUGUGUAAUGCAGUUCACUAUGCCCUACUUCCCGCAGCACCCUUAUCACUUGGCUUUUGAGAUACUAUACCCCUGGAUUUCUUUCUGCUCCUUGGGUGCUCCUGCUCAGUCUGGCUUCUACCAGUGGCCUAGGUUCUGUCUCCCGACCUCUGUUCUUUGCACUUCUAUCUCAGAGGCAUAUUUCAUCCCAGCUCAUGGAGUUAAGUACAAUUUACCUACUGCACAUACCCAAAUUUGUAUCUCCAGCUUUAAACCCUAUGAGGUAGGGACUGCUGUCACC
RNAcentral lists this long non-coding RNA (4219 nucleotides) under Homo sapiens (human). Its description in RNAcentral is "non-protein coding LINC01820:17". The record is from RNAcentral. Lineage: Eukaryota; Metazoa; Chordata; Mammalia; Primates; Hominidae.